GCCUACGGGGGGCAGCAGUGGGGGAUAUUGCACAAUGGGGGAAACCCUGAUGCAGCGACGCCGCGUGGGUGAAGAAGCGCCUCGGCGCGUAAAGCCCUGUCAGCAGGGAAGAAAAUGACGGUACCUGAAGAAGAAGCCCCGGCUAACUACGUGCCAGCAGCCGCGGUAAUACGUAGGUGGCAAGCGUUGUCCUGAUUUACUGGGUGUAAAGGGCGUGCAGCCGGGAAGAAAAGUCAGAUGUGAAAUCCCGCGGCUCAACCGCGGAACUGCAUUUGAAACUGUUGUUCUUGAGUACCGGAGAGGUC
This 305-nucleotide ribosomal RNA is filed under the name uncultured bacterium. RNAcentral describes it as "bacterial SSU rRNA". It matches the Rfam family "Bacterial small subunit ribosomal RNA", at positions 337 to 659 of the family's 1533-position model. The record is from RNAcentral.